Small nuclear RNA from Sorex fumeus (smoky shrew), 134 nucleotides. RefSeq annotates it as U11 spliceosomal RNA. NCBI's taxonomy places the organism in Eukaryota, Metazoa, Chordata, Mammalia, Eulipotyphla, Soricidae. The record is from RefSeq and is a predicted model, not a curated record. The transcript has a single exon.
AAAAAGGGCUUCUGCCGUGAGUGGUACUCAUAGACCAGUUGGCUUGCUCUAUGUGUGGAAUUGGUAUCAAGAGAUUUUGGAACCAUGAUGUUUUGGCAGUAGGGCAGCUAGUGAUCAUUGGUCCUGGUAUCCCA